RNAcentral lists this ribosomal RNA (508 nucleotides) under uncultured bacterium. Its description in RNAcentral is "partial 16S ribosomal RNA". It matches the Rfam family "Bacterial small subunit ribosomal RNA", at positions 28 to 507 of the family's 1533-position model. The record is from RNAcentral.
GACGAACGCUGGCGGCGUGCCUAAUACAUGCAAGUCGAACGCUUCUUUCCUCCCGAGUGCUUGCCCUCAAUUGGAAAGAGGAGUGGCGGACGGGUGAGUAACACGUGGGUAACCUACCCAUCAGAGGGGGAUAACACUUGGAAACAGGUGCUAAUACCGCAUAACAGUUUAUGCCGCAUGGCAUAAGAGUGAAAGGCGCUUUCGGGUGUCGCUGAUGGAUGGACCCGCGGUGCAUUAGCUAGUUGGUGAGGUAACGGCUCACCAAGGCCACGAUGCAUAGCCGACCUGAGAGGGUGAUCGGCCACACUGGGACUGAGGCACGGCCCAGACUCCUACGGGAGGCAGCAGUAGGGAAUCUUCGGCAAUGGACGAAAGUCUGACCGAGCAACGCCGCGUGAGUGAAGAAGGUUUUCGGAUCGUAAAACUCUGUUGUUAGAGAAGAACAAGGACGUUAGUAACUGAACGUCCCCUGACGGUAUCUAACCAGAAAGCCACGGCUAACUACGUG